RNAcentral lists this ribosomal RNA (468 nucleotides) under uncultured bacterium. RNAcentral describes it as "partial 16S ribosomal RNA". It matches the Rfam family "Bacterial small subunit ribosomal RNA", at positions 28 to 507 of the family's 1533-position model. The record is from RNAcentral.
GACGAACGCUGGCGGCGUGCUUAACACAUGCAAGUCGAACGGAAAGGCCCUGCUUUUGUGGGGUGCUCGAGUGGCGAACGGGUGAGUAACACGUGAGUAACCUGCCCUUGACUUUGGGAUAACUUCAGGAAACUGGGGCUAAUACCGGAUAGGAGCUCCUGCUGCAUGGUGGGGGUUGGAAAGUGUCGGCGGUAGGGGAUGGACUCGCGGCUUAUCAGCUUGUUGGUGGGGUAGUGGCUUACCAAGGCUUUGACGGGUAGCCGGCCUGAGAGGGUGACCGGCCACCUUGGGACUGCGAUACGGACCAGACUGCUACGGGAGGCAGCAGUGGGGAAUAUUGCACAAUGGCGGGAAGCCUGAUGUGGCAACGCCGCGUGCGGGAUGACGGCUUUCGGGUUGUAAACCGCUUUCGCCUUUGACGAAGAGUGAGUGACGGUAAUGGGUAAAGAAGCACCGGCUAACUACGUG